CAGUCGCCACGGUAAUACGAAGGGGGCUAGCGUUGCUCGGAAUCACUGGGCGUAAAGGGUGCGUAGGCGGGUCUUUAAGUCAGGGGUGAAAUCCUGGAGCUCAACUCCAGAACUGCCUUUGAUACUGAAGAUCUUGAGUUCGGGAGAGGUGAGUGGAACUGCGAGUGUAGAGGUGAAAUUCGUAGAUAUUCGCAAGAACACCAGUGGCGAAGGCGGCUCACUGGCCCGAUACUGACGCUGAGGCACGAAAGCGUGGGGAGCAAACAGGAUUAGAUACCCCCGUAGUCCCUGUCUCUUAUAC
RNAcentral lists this ribosomal RNA (301 nucleotides) under uncultured bacterium. Its description in RNAcentral is "partial 16S ribosomal RNA". It matches the Rfam family "Bacterial small subunit ribosomal RNA", at positions 509 to 807 of the family's 1533-position model. The record is from RNAcentral.